This is a long non-coding RNA of Larimichthys crocea (large yellow croaker), 432 nucleotides long. RefSeq lists it as uncharacterized. The record is from RefSeq and is a predicted model, not a curated record. The transcript has 3 exons. NCBI's taxonomy places the organism in Eukaryota, Metazoa, Chordata, Actinopteri, Sciaenidae.
CAAUGCUGAAUGUAGCUGAUGUCGUUUUGGCAGAGUAACAGUCAAUCUCCAUGGAUAACAAGUCACAGGUUCUGAGGAAGUGAACCAACAGGAACCUCAUUAUGAGAAUUCUGACACAUACCAUUUGAACUCCACCAUCUCUGAGGAUCCAGCUGUAGUGAGUGCUGUGUAUGCCACUGUGGAGAGGGCUCAGGAGAGCAGUGCCCGGGGAGGUGAUUAGCACACCUGCAUCUAGUUAUCUCCCCUUUUUAAGACAGUAGCGUGCUGGACCUGGGGAGAUGAGACAGACGCAGACACACCAAGGACAUGAGCAGCCUGCGAACGGCUCAAAUCAUUGGGUGCUCUGUGUACAAGUUAAAUAAAUGUAUCAAUCAGUCAUCAUUCUCUGCGUCUCUGUGCUGAAGAAACCCACAGUGGUAUCAGUCAACGCCA